GACGAACGCUGGCGGCGUGCUUAACACAUGCAAGUCGAACGGAAAGGCCCUGCUUGCCGGGUACUCGAGUGGCGAACGGGUGAGUAACACUUGGGUGAUCUGCCCUGCACUUCGGGAUAAGCCUGGGAAACUGGGUCUAAUACCGGAUAGGAGCCAUUUUUAGUGUGAUGGUUGGAAAGUUUUUUCGGUGUAGGAUGAGCUCGCGGCCUAUCAGCUUGUUGGUGGGGUAAUGGCCUACCAAGGCGGCGACGGGUAGCCGGCCUGAGAGGGUGGACGGCCACAUUGGGACUGAGAGACGGCCCAGACUCCUACGGGAGGCAGCAGUGGGGAAUAUUGCACAAGGGGCGCAAGCCUGAUGCAGCGACGCCGCGGGGGGGAUGACGGCCUUCGGGUUGUAAACUCCUUUCGCUAGGGACGAAGCUUUUUGUGACGGUACCUAGAUAAGAAGCACCGGCUAACUACGUG
Molecule: ribosomal RNA, 465 nt
Filed under: uncultured bacterium
Lineage: Bacteria
Description: partial 16S ribosomal RNA
Rfam family: Bacterial small subunit ribosomal RNA
Source: RNAcentral